Molecule: ribosomal RNA, 200 nt
Filed under: uncultured prokaryote
Description: partial 16S ribosomal RNA
Rfam family: Bacterial small subunit ribosomal RNA
Source: RNAcentral
CGUCAAAUCAGCACGGCCCUUACGUCCGGGGCUACACACGUGUUACAAUGGGAUGGACAAAGGGGCGCUACCCGGCGACGGGAUGCCAAUCUCCAAACCCUCUCCCGGUUCGGAUCGGAGUCUGCAACCCGACUCCGUGAAGCCGGAUUCGCUAGUAAUCGCGCAUCAGCCAUGGCGCGGUGAAUACGUUCCCGAGCCUU